This 229-nucleotide unclassified non-coding RNA is filed under the name plant metagenome. Its description in RNAcentral is "partial contains small subunit ribosomal RNA, internal transcribed spacer 1, and 5.8S ribosomal RNA". The record is from RNAcentral.
UCUCCGUAGGUGAACCUGCGGAGGGAUCAUUACAGAGUUCAUGCCCUACCGGGUAGAUCUCCCACCCUAUGUUAUUAUUACUUUGUUGCUUUGGCGGGCCGUUAGGCUUCGGCCCGACUACCGGCCCCGGCUGGUAAGCGCCCGCCAGAGGACCCAAAACCCUGAAUAUUAGUGUCGUCUGAGUACUAUAUAAUAGUUAAAACUUUCAACAACGGAUCUCUCGGUUCUG